Non-coding RNA from Octodon degus (degu), 402 nucleotides. Lineage: Eukaryota; Metazoa; Chordata; Mammalia; Rodentia; Octodontidae. The record is from the annotation of a RefSeq genome assembly.
CUUUCUGUAGAAUCCCCUAGAGCACAGCUCCUCAACAUGGAUUGGACCUGGAGGAUUCUCUUCUUAGUGGCAGUUCUGAAAAGUGCCCAUGGCGAGGUGCAGUUGGUGCAGUCUGGAGCUGAGCUGAAGAAGCCUGGGACCUCAGUGAAGGUCACCUGCAAGGCUUCUGGGUAUACCUUCACAAGCUAUCUUAUGCACUGGGUGCGACAGACCCCUGGACAAGGACUAGAAUGGAUUGGUUGGGUCUACCCUAGUGAUGGUGAUACUAGCUAUGCUCAGAAGUUCCAGGGCAGAGCCACCCUCACUGCUGACGAGUCCUCCAGCAUGGCCUACAUGGAGCUGAGCAGUUUGAAGUCUGAGGACACGGCUGUGUAUUACUGUGCGAGAGACACAGUGUGGUGA